This 260-nucleotide ribosomal RNA is filed under the name uncultured bacterium. RNAcentral describes it as "partial 16S ribosomal RNA". It matches the Rfam family "Bacterial small subunit ribosomal RNA", at positions 793 to 1055 of the family's 1533-position model. The record is from RNAcentral.
GUCCACACCCUAAACGAUGAAUACUAGAUGUUGGUCCUUUUAGGAUCAGUAUCCAAGCUAACGCAUUAAGUAUUCCACCUGGGAAGUACAAUCGCAAGGUUGAAACUCAAAGGAAUUGACGGGGACCCGCACAAGCAGCGGAGCAUGUUGUUUAAUUCGAUGCGACGCGAAGAACCUUACCUGGGCUUGACAUGCGCCUGUAAUCUCGGGAAACCGAGCCCCUCUUCGGAGCGGGUGCACAGGUGGUGCAUGGCUGUCGU